UCCUCCUUAGCUCAGUUGGUUAGAGCAUCUGGCUGUUAACCAGAGGGUCCUUGGUUCGAGUCCAAGAGGGGGAG
Molecule: transfer RNA, 74 nt
Filed under: Bacteroidota bacterium
Lineage: Bacteria; Pseudomonadati; Bacteroidota
Description: Bacteroidetes bacterium (groundwater metagenome) tRNA-Asn
Rfam family: tRNA
About the family: Transfer RNA (tRNA) molecules are approximately 80 nucleotides in length. Their secondary structure includes four short double-helical elements and three loops (D, anti-codon, and T loops).
Source: RNAcentral